CGCACCUAAAAGCGUUUUCUUGCCAGCCCAUUAAGUGCUCUCGAAAAUCGUAGAUGUGUGCCAUAGUAAGGCUCAGUUGCAAGUGAUUCUAUUCCCUCAAUGACAGAAUCACAUUAAGCUGUCUACAGAU
Small nucleolar RNA from Drosophila subobscura, 130 nucleotides. RefSeq annotates it as small nucleolar RNA psi28S-3316. Lineage: Eukaryota; Metazoa; Arthropoda; Insecta; Diptera; Drosophilidae. The record is from RefSeq and is a predicted model, not a curated record. The transcript has a single exon.